AUUGAACGCUGGCGGCAGGCCUAACACAUGCAAGUCGAACGGUAGCACAGAGAGCUUGCUCUCGGGUGACGAGUGGCGGACGGGUGAGUAACGUCUGGGAAACUGCCCGAUGGAGGGGGAUAACUACUGGAGACGGUAGCUAAUACCGCAUAACGUCGCAAGACCAAAGUGGGGGACCUUCGGGCCUCACACCAUCGGAUGUGCCCAGAUGGGAUUAGCUAGUAGGUGGGGUAAUGGCUCACCUAGGCGACGAUCCCUAGCUGGUAUGAGAGGAUGACCAGCCACACAGGAACUGAGGAACGGUCCAGACUCCGACGGGAGGCAGCAGUGGGGAAUAUUGCACAAUGGGCGAAAGCCUGAUGCAGCCAUGCCGCGUGUAUGAAGAAGGCCUGCGGGUUGUAAAGUACUUUCAGCGGGGAGGAAGGCGGUGAAGUUAACAGCUUCACCGAUUGACGUUACCCGCAGAAGAAGCACCGGCUAACUCCGUGCCAGCCGCCGCCGUAA
Molecule: ribosomal RNA, 504 nt
Filed under: uncultured bacterium
Lineage: Bacteria
Description: partial 16S ribosomal RNA
Rfam family: Bacterial small subunit ribosomal RNA
Source: RNAcentral